RNAcentral lists this unclassified non-coding RNA (1345 nucleotides) under uncultured cyanobacterium. Its description in RNAcentral is "bacterial SSU rRNA". The stretch from base 1 to 1058 matches the Rfam family "Bacterial small subunit ribosomal RNA", at positions 480 to 1533 of the family's 1533-position model. Lineage: Bacteria; Bacillati; Cyanobacteriota. The record is from RNAcentral.
UGAAGAAAAAGCAUCGGCUAACUCCGUGCCAGCAGCCGCGGUAAUACGGAGGAUGCAAGCGUUAUCCGGAAUCAUUGGGCGUAAAGGGUCCGCAGGUGGCGAAUAAAGUCUGCUGUUAAAGACCGGGGCUAAACUCCGGAAAGGCAGUGGAAACUGAUUAGCUAGAGUACGGUAGGGGUAGAGGGAAUUCCCAGUGUAGCGGUGAAAUGCGUAGAUAUUGGGAAGAACACCGGUGGCGAAAGCGCUCUACUAGGCCGAAACUGACACUGAGGGACGAAAGCUAGGGUAGCGAAAGGGAUUAGAUACCCCUGUAGUCUUAGCGGUAAACGAUGGAUACUAGGUGUAGCUUGUAUCGACCCGAGCUGUGCCGAAGCUAACGCGAUAAGUAUCCCGCCUGGGGAGUACGCACGCAAGUGUGAAACUCAAAGGAAUUGACGGGGGCCCGCACAAGCGGUGGAGUAUGUGGUUUAAUUCGAUGCAACGCGAAGAACCUUACCAGGGCUUGACAUGUCGCGAAUCUAGCGGAAACGUUAGAGUGCCUUAGGGAAUGCGAACACAGGUGGUGCAUGGCUGUCGUCAGCUCGUGUCGUGAGAUGUUGGGUUAAGUCCCGCAACGAGCGCAACCCUCGUCCUUAGUUGCCAAUAUUAAGUUAGGCACUCUAGGGAGACUGCCGGGGACAACUCGGAGGAAGGUGGGGAUGACGUCAAGUCAGCAUGCCCCUUACGUCCUGGGCGACACACGUACUACAAUGGUUGGGACAAAGGGCAGCAAACUCGCGAGAGUAAGCGAAUCUCAUCAAACCCAGCCACAGUUCAGAUUGCAGGCUGCAACUCGCCUGCAUGAAGUGGGAAUCGCUAGUAAUCGCAGGUCAGCAUACUGCGGUGAAUUCGUUCCCGGGUCUUGUACACACCGCCCGUCACACCAUGGAAGCUGGCUACGCCCGAAGUCGUUACCCUAACCCGGUUUUGGGAGGGGGAUGCCGAAGGUAGAGCUAGUGACUGGGGUGAAGUCGUAACAAGGUAGCCGUACCGGAAGGUGUGGCUGGAUCACCUCCUUUACAGGGAGACCUAGUCUAAUUACCAAUAGAUAAAAAAGUUGGUAAUUCGCAAGAAUCCUUAGGUCGUGAGGGGAGCAAGAAAAAACUUUCAAACUGUAAUGGGUGAGGGUCAAUGGGCUAUUAGCUCAGGUGGUUAGAGCGCACCCCUGAUAAGGGUGAGGUCCCUGGUUCAAGUCCAGGAUGGCCCACCUAAAAUACACAGGCAUCCUGCCUGUGCCACAAAAAAAGGAAAAAGUUUUGGCAUUGUCUCUUGUAAUCAAGAGCAAGAGAUAAUGCUGGAAUAGAUU